Molecule: ribosomal RNA, 253 nt
Filed under: uncultured bacterium
Lineage: Bacteria
Description: partial 16S ribosomal RNA
Rfam family: Bacterial small subunit ribosomal RNA
Source: RNAcentral
GACGAACCGUGCGAACGUUGUUCGGAAUCACUGGGCUUAAAGGGCGCGUAGGCGGGCUCGCCAGUCAGGGGUGAAAGCCCACGGCUCAACCGUGGAAGUGCCUUUGAUACUGCGAGUCUCGAGGGAGGUAGGGGCGUGCGGAACUUCCGGUGGAGCGGUGAAAUGCGUAGAUAUCGGAAGGAACACCGGUGGCGAAAGCGGCGCGCUGGACCUCUUCUGACGCUGAGGCGCGAAAGCCAGGGGAGCGAACGGG